UGACGUAUGUAGAGUUUGAUCAUGGCUCAGAAUCAACGCUGGCGGCGUGCCUAACACAUGCAAGUCGCACGAGAAAGGGACUUCGGUCCUGAGUAAAGUGGCGCACGGGUGAGUAACACGUGAAUCAUCUACCUCCGGAUGGGGAAUAACUGAGAGAAAUCUUAGCUAAUACCGCAUAAUACCUACGGGUCAAAGCAGCAAUGCGUUUGGAGAGGAGUUCGCGGCCGAUUAGCUAGUUGGCGGGGUAAUGGCCCACCAAGGCAAUGAUCGGUAUCCGGCCUGAGAGGGCGCACGGACACACUGGAACUGAAACACGGUCCAGACUCCUACGGGAGGCAGCAGUGGGGAAUUUUGCGCAAUGGGGGAAACCCUGACGCAGCAACGCCGCGUGGAGGAUGAAGUAUCUUGGUACGUAAACUCCUUUCGAUAGGGAAGAUAAUGACGGUACCUAUAGAAGAAGCCCCGGCUAACUUCGUGCCAGCCGCCGCGGUAAU
RNAcentral lists this ribosomal RNA (494 nucleotides) under uncultured Acidobacteriaceae bacterium. RNAcentral's name for it is "bacterial SSU rRNA". It matches the Rfam family "Bacterial small subunit ribosomal RNA", at positions 1 to 524 of the family's 1533-position model. The record is from RNAcentral. Lineage: Bacteria; Pseudomonadati; Acidobacteriota; Terriglobia; Terriglobales; Acidobacteriaceae.